This 517-nucleotide ribosomal RNA is filed under the name Pseudomonas sp. RNAcentral describes it as "bacterial SSU rRNA". It matches the Rfam family "Bacterial small subunit ribosomal RNA", at positions 61 to 573 of the family's 1533-position model. Lineage: Bacteria; Pseudomonadati; Pseudomonadota; Gammaproteobacteria; Pseudomonadales; Pseudomonadaceae. The record is from RNAcentral.
GUCGAGCGGUUGACGGGAGCUUGCUCCCUGAUUCAGCGGCGGACGGGUGAGUAAUGCCUAGGAAUCUGCCUAUUAGUGGGGGACAACGUUUCGAAAGGAACGCUAAUACCGCAUACGUCCUACGGGAGAAAGCAGGGGACCUUCGGGCCUUGCGCUAAUAGAUGAGCCUAGGUCGGAUUAGCUAGUUGGUGAGGUAAUGGCUCACCAAGGCGACGAUCCGUAACUGGUCUGAGAGGAUGAUCAGUCACACUGGAACUGAGACACGGUCCAGACUCCUACGGGAGGCAGCAGUGGGGAAUAUUGGACAAUGGGCGAAAGCCUGAUCCAGCCAUGCCGCGUGUGUGAAGAAGGUCUUCGGAUUGUAAAGCACUUUAAGUUGGGAGGAAGGGUUGUAGAUUAAUACUCUGCAAUUUUGACGUUACCGACAGAAUAAGCACCGGCUAACUCUGUGCCAGCAGCCGCGGUAAUACAGAGGGUGCAAGCGUUAAUCGGAAUUACUGGGCGUAAAGCGCGCGUA